UUUUUUUUUUUUAUUUCUCUCAGGACGAACGCUGGCGGCGUGCCUAAUACAUGCAAGUCGAGCGGACAGAAGGGAGCUUGCUCCCGGAUGUUAGCGGCGGACGGGUGAGUAACACGUGGGUAACCUGCCUGUAAGACUGGGAUAACUCCGGGAAACCGGAGCUAAUACCGGAUAGUUCCUUGAACCGCAUGGUUCAAGGAUGAAAGACGGUUUCGGCUGUCACUUACAGAUGGACCCGCGGCGCAUUAGCUAGUUGGUGGGGUAAUGGCUCACCAAGGCGACGAUGCGUAGCCGACCUGAGAGGGUGAUCGGCCACACUGGGACUGAGACACGGCCCAGACUCCUACGGGAGGCAGCAGUAGGGAAUCUUCCGCAAUGGACGAAAGUCUGACGGAGCAACGCCGCGUGAGUGAUGAAGGUUUUCGGAUCGUAAAGCUCUGUUGUUAGGGAAGAACAAGUGCGAGAGUAACUGCUCGCACCUUGACGGUACCUAACCAGAAAGCCACGGCUAACUACGUGCCAGCAGCCGCGGUAAUACGUAGGUGGCAAGCGUUGUCCGGAAUUAUUGGGCGUAAAGGGCUCGCAGGCGGUUUCUUAAGUCUGAUGUGAAAGCCCCCGGCUCAACCGGGGAGGGUCAUUGGAAACUGGGAAACUUGAGUGCAGAAGAGGAGAGUGGAAUUCCACGUGUAGCGGUGAAAUGCGUAGAGAUGUGGAGGAACACCAGUGGCGAAGGCGACUCUCUGGUCUGUAACUGACGCUGAGGAGCGAAAGCGUGGGGAGCGAACAGGAUUAGAUACCCUGGUAGUCCACGCCGUAAACGAUGAGUGCUAAGUGUUAGGGGGUUUCCGCCCCUUAGUGCUGCAGCUAACGCAUUAAGCACUCCGCCUGGGGAGUACGGUCGCAAGACUGAAACUCAAAGGAAUUGACGGGGGCCCGCACAAGCGGUGGAGCAUGUGGUUUAAUUCGAAGCAACGCGAAGAACCUUACCAGGUCUUGACAUCCUCUGACAACCCUAGAGAUAGGGCUUUCCCUUCGGGGACAGAGUGACAGGUGGUGCAUGGUUGUCGUCAGCUCGUGUCGUGAGAUGUUGGGUUAAGUCCCGCAACGAGCGCAACCCUUGAUCUUAGUUGCCAGCAUUCAGUUGGGCACUCUAAGGUGACUGCCGGUGACAAACCGGAGGAAGGUGGGGAUGACGUCAAAUCAUCAUGCCCCUUAUGACCUGGGCUACACACGUGCUACAAUGGACAGAACAAAGGGCUGCAAGACCGCAAGGUUUAGCCAAUCCCAUAAAUCUGUUCUCAGUUCGGAUCGCAGUCUGCAACUCGACUGCGUGAAGCUGGAAUCGCUAGUAAUCGCGGAUCAGCAUGCCGCGGUGAAUACGUUCCCGGGCCUUGUACACACCGCCCGUCACACCACGAGAGUUUGCAACACCCGAAGUCGGUGAGGUAACCUUUAUGGAGCCAGCCGCCGAAGGUGGGGCAGAUGAUUGGGGUGAAGUCGUACAAGGGGUAACCAA
RNAcentral lists this ribosomal RNA (1516 nucleotides) under Bacillus australimaris. RNAcentral describes it as "bacterial SSU rRNA". It matches the Rfam family "Bacterial small subunit ribosomal RNA". Lineage: Bacteria; Bacillati; Bacillota; Bacilli; Caryophanales; Bacillaceae. The record is from RNAcentral.